RNA transcript from Quercus robur (English oak), 942 nucleotides. RefSeq lists it as uncharacterized. The record is from RefSeq and is a predicted model, not a curated record. NCBI's taxonomy places the organism in Eukaryota, Viridiplantae, Streptophyta, Magnoliopsida, Fagales, Fagaceae. The transcript has 3 exons.
CAUUCACUUUAUAGCCUUUUUAGUUAUCUUCGGUGCUUUUCAGUUUUCACCGACCCGCUGAUGAGACCUCUCACUCUUGAGUCUCUCUUUAUUUGCUCAACCCUUUCUCAUCUUCCACACCCCAAUAACCUCAAAGAGAAGAAGAGCCUUCAUAUGAAGGAAGGUAAAGCCUUUUCAACGCUCGAAAAGGAUUGGGCAAUAAAGAGCAAAGACUGGUGGUUCAAGUGUUGGAGGGGGUGGAAUAAAGAAUGUUUACUCCUAAGCCAACGUGUUCGUGGAAUCGUGGAAGUUUGAAGAGAACACGUCUAUUUUGGAAUGGAAGGAUUUCGAAAGAAGGUGAUUUAUGCACGCCGCCAAAUACAUGAACAUGUGCUCCAAACUCUGAGGAAGAUGCAUCAAUUGAGGACAGUGGGGAAGAUGCAGAAGAUGCAAAAAAUAUGAAGGUGUCAUCAGAUAAUGAAAGUGACGAAGGUGGUAAUUAUCCAACAGAUUUUGAUAUUAGAACACGGCCAAGGUGCAUAGGAAAAAGUCUCUUUUCUAAGACGGUUGUACCUGUGCAAAGUACCUUCAACGAGGAAAUAGGCAUCCUCCAUGUUGUGGAACACAACAAAAAUUUCAUGUACCUUAUUGUGGCAAUCACUAAUCAAUAUAAAAUGGAGAUGUCAUCAAAUGAUGAAAGUGAUGAAGGUGGUAAUUGUCAAACAGAUUUUGAUAUUAGAACACAACCAAGACGCAUGGGGAAAAGUCCCUCUUCUAAGAUGGUUGUACCUGUGCAAGCACGAAGAUACCCUCAACGAGUAAAUAGGCUUCUUAAUGAGUAAAUAGGCAUCUUUCAUGUUGUGGAACACAACAAAAAUUCAUGUAUCUCAUUGUGGCAAUCACUGAUCAAUGUAAAAUGACUGUCUAUUAAGAAUAUAUUAAAGUAUUAUUGUUGUUUAUGCA